This 468-nucleotide ribosomal RNA is filed under the name uncultured bacterium. RNAcentral's name for it is "partial 16S ribosomal RNA". It matches the Rfam family "Bacterial small subunit ribosomal RNA", at positions 28 to 507 of the family's 1533-position model. The record is from RNAcentral.
GACGAACGCUGGCGGCGCGCCUAACACAUGCCAGUCGAACGGAGUCAAGAGGAGCUUGCUUUUCUUGACUUAGUGGCGAACGGGUGAGUAACGCGUGAGUAACCUGCCCUGGAGUGGGGGACAACAGUUGGAAACGACUGCUAAUACCGCAUAAGCCCACGGAUCUGCAUGGAUCUGCGGGAAAAGGAUUUAUUCGCUCUAGGAUGGACUCGCGUCCAAUUAGCUAGUUGGUGAGGUAACGGCCCACCAAGGCGACGAUUGGUAGCCGGACUGAGAGGUUGAACGGCCACAUUGGGACUGAGACACGGCCCAGACUCCUACGGGAGGCAGCAGUGGGGGAUAUUGCACAAUGGGGGAAACCCUGAUGCAGCGACGCCGCGUGGAGGAAGAAGGUUUUCGGAUUGUAAACUCCUGUCGUUAGGGACGAUAAUGACGGUACCUAACAAGAAAGCACCAGCUAACUACGUG